CCUAUCAGCUAGUUGGUGAGGUAAUGGCUCACCAAGGCGACGACGGGUAGCCGGCCUGAGAGGGUGACCGGCCACACUGGGACUGAGACACGGCCCAGACUCCUACGGGAGGCAGCAGUGGGGAAUAUUGCACAAUGGGCGAAAGCCUGAUGCAGCAACGCCGCGUGAGGGAUGACGGCCUUCGGGUUGUAAACCUCUUUUAGUAGGGAAGAAGCGAAAGUGACGGUACCUGCAGAAAAAGCACCGGCUAACUACGUGCCAGCAGCCGCGGUAAUACGUAGGGUGCAAGCGUUGUCCGGAAUUAUUGGGCGUAAAGAGCUCGUAGGCGGUUUGUCGCGUCUGCUGUGAAAUCUGGGGGCUCAACCCCCAGCCUGCAGUGGGUACGGGCAGACUA
This 394-nucleotide ribosomal RNA is filed under the name Frigoribacterium sp. H1-14-l. Its description in RNAcentral is "bacterial SSU rRNA". It matches the Rfam family "Bacterial small subunit ribosomal RNA", at positions 237 to 643 of the family's 1533-position model. The record is from RNAcentral. Lineage: Bacteria; Bacillati; Actinomycetota; Actinomycetes; Micrococcales; Microbacteriaceae. RNAcentral also lists the same sequence under 6 other names.